AACGAGCGCUGGCGGCAUGCCUAACACAUGCAAGUCGAACGAAGCCUUCGGGCUUAGUGGCGCACGGGUGCGUAACGCGUGGGAAUCUGCCCUUGGGUUCGGAAUAACAGUUAGAAAUGACUGCUAAUACCGGAUGAUGUCUUCGGACCAAAGAUUUAUCGCCCAAGGAUGAGACCGCGUAGGAUUAGGUAGUUGGUGGGGUAAUGGCCCACCAAGCCGACGACCCGUAGCUGGUCUGAGAGGAUGAUCAGCCACACUGGGACUGAGACACGGCCCGGACGCCUCCGGGAGGCAGCAGUGGGGAAUAUUGAACAAGGGGCGACAGCCUGAUCCAGCAAUGCCGCGUGAGUGAUGAAGGCCUUAGGGUCGUAAAGCUCUUUUACCAGCGAUGAUAAUGACAGUACCUGGAGAAUAAGCUCCGGCUAACUCCUUGCCAGCCGCCGCGGUAA
Molecule: ribosomal RNA, 449 nt
Filed under: uncultured bacterium
Lineage: Bacteria
Description: partial 16S ribosomal RNA
Rfam family: Bacterial small subunit ribosomal RNA
Source: RNAcentral